This is a small nucleolar RNA of Oryctolagus cuniculus (rabbit), 126 nucleotides long. NCBI's taxonomy places the organism in Eukaryota, Metazoa, Chordata, Mammalia, Lagomorpha, Leporidae. The record is from Ensembl.
GAGCACUGUUCGUGACCCGAUAGCCUGGCUGUGGCUGACGAGUUCCAUUCCAGUGCCACAGCAUUGCCAUGGAUUGACACACGACUGACUGCCUGGUGGCUUCCGGUUUCAGUCCUGGAGACAAAU